This is a non-coding RNA of Hydra vulgaris (swiftwater hydra), 445 nucleotides long. The record is from RefSeq and is a predicted model, not a curated record. Lineage: Eukaryota; Metazoa; Cnidaria; Hydrozoa; Anthoathecata; Hydridae.
UCUAAAUAUAAAACAAUAUAUUGAAUGCCAUUCCAUUUAUUGAUGCUUUGAAGAAUCGAGUCGAAGUACUGUAGCCAGCUGGGCUACGCUCACUGGAUGAAUUGCAAAUUAAAACUGAUUUAAUACAAAGACGGCAUAAGUUUGCUGAAAGUUAUACAAAUGGAGAAGUAUUGGUGCGUUUCUUUCCACAUGUAGAAGUUAAUGCAUAUAGAAAGAGAUAAAGGAGGUCAGAAAAGUUGGCAGAAUAGUUUGUGUAGCAUUUGUGGAAGCGAAAUUGGUCAAAAAACUAGAAAAAAUCAAAAAAAAGUUAAAUGGAUCAAAUGUGAUAUUUGCAUCCAAAUCGAUGGUACCGUAUAAGAUGCAUUGUUUUUAAAAAUGAAACUUUAUUUUGUUGUGAACAUAUUUAUAUACAAAUGUAAUAAUAAAUAAAACUUUAAAAAUUGCA